CAGCGAAGUCGUGAGGCGGAGCAAAUACUCGAAAACCGGUCCCAGUUCGGACUGCAGGCUGCAACUCGCCUGCACGAAGCCGGAGUUGCUAGUAAUCGCGGAUCAGAAUGCCGCGGUGAAUGCGUUCCCGGGUCUUGUACACACCGCCCGUCACACCACGAGAGUUUACAACACCCGAAGUCAGUGGCCUAACCGCAAGGAGGGAGCUGCCUAAGGUGGGGUAGAUGAUUGGGGUGAAGUCGUAACAAGGUACC
Molecule: ribosomal RNA, 254 nt
Filed under: uncultured bacterium
Lineage: Bacteria
Description: partial 16S ribosomal RNA
Rfam family: Bacterial small subunit ribosomal RNA
Source: RNAcentral